CCCUUAGAUGUUCUGGGCCGCACACGCGCUACACUGAAGGAGGCAGCGUGUACUCCUGGAUCGAAAGAUUUGGGUAACCCGCGAAUCUCCUUCGUGCUAGGGAUUGAGGUUUGCAAUUAUCCUUCAUGAACGAGGAAUUCCCAGUAAGUGCAAGUCAUAAGCUUGCGCUGACUACGUCCCUGCCCUUUGUACACACCGCCCGUCGCUACUACCGAUUGAAUGGUUUAGUGAGAACUCGGGACUGGCACUAAGGGGCUGGCAACAGCCUAUUAGAGCCGGGAACUUGCUCAAACUUGAUCAUUUAGAGGAAGUAAAANUCGUANCA
RNAcentral lists this ribosomal RNA (325 nucleotides) under uncultured eukaryote. RNAcentral describes it as "partial 18S ribosomal RNA". It matches the Rfam family "Eukaryotic small subunit ribosomal RNA", at positions 1470 to 1796 of the family's 1831-position model. The record is from RNAcentral.